RNAcentral lists this non-coding RNA (48 nucleotides) under Schistosoma curassoni. The record is from RNAcentral. Lineage: Eukaryota; Metazoa; Platyhelminthes; Trematoda; Strigeidida; Schistosomatidae.
AUUCAACUGACGAGUCCUAAAUAGAACGAAACAUGAGUCAAAUUGGAU